GAUGAACGCUAGCUACAGGCUUAACACAUGCAAGUCGAGGGGAAACGAUAGAGAAAGCUUGCUUUUUCUAGGCGUCGACCGGCGCACGGGUGAGUAACGCGUAUCCAACCUGCCCAUCACUUGGGGAUAACCUUGCGAAAGUAAGACUAAUACCCAAUGAUAUCUCUAGGAGACAUCUGAAGGAGAUUAAAGAUUUAUCGGUGAUGGAUGGGGAUGCGUCUGAUUAGCUUGUUGGCGGGGUAACGGCCGACCAAGGCGACGAUCAGGAGGGGUUCUGAGAGGAAGGUCCCCCACAUGGGAACUGAGACACGGUCCAAACUCCUACGGGAGGCAGCAGUGAGGAAUAUUGGUCAAUGGGCGAGAGCCUGAACCAGCCAAGUAGCGUGCAGGAUGACGGCCCUAUGGGUUGUAAACUGCUUUUAUAAGGGAAUAAAGUGAGUCUCGUGAGACUUUUUGCAUGUACCUUAUGAAUAAGGACCGGCUAAUUCCGUGCCAGCCGCCGCCGUAA
RNAcentral lists this ribosomal RNA (508 nucleotides) under uncultured bacterium. Its description in RNAcentral is "partial 16S ribosomal RNA". It matches the Rfam family "Bacterial small subunit ribosomal RNA", at positions 28 to 523 of the family's 1533-position model. The record is from RNAcentral.